GAUGAAGAACGCAGUGAAAUGCGAUAAGUAAUGUGAAUUGCAGAAUUCAGUGAAUCAUCGAAUCUUUGAACGCACAUUGCGCCCGCCAGUAUUCUGGCGAGCAUGCCUGUUCGAGCGUCAUUUCAACCAUCAAGCCCCAGGCUUGUGUUGGAGCCCUGCGGCUGCCGCAGCCUCCCAAAACCAGUGGCGGGCUCGCUAUCACACCGAGUGCAGUAGUUUACUCUUCGCUCAGGGCGUGUGGCGGGUGCUAGCCGUGAAACCCCCAACUUCUCAAGGUUGACCUCGGAUCAGGUAAGAAUACCCGCUGAACUUAAGCAUAUCAAUAAGCGGAGGA
RNAcentral lists this unclassified non-coding RNA (334 nucleotides) under soil metagenome. RNAcentral's name for it is "partial contains 5.8S ribosomal RNA, internal transcribed spacer 2, and large subunit ribosomal RNA". The stretch from base 1 to 120 matches the Rfam family "5.8S ribosomal RNA", at positions 35 to 154 of the family's 154-position model. The record is from RNAcentral.